GGAGAGAUGGCUCAGCGGUUAAGAGCACUGGCUGCUCUUCCAGAGAUCCUGGGUUCAAUUCCUAGCACCUGCA
Molecule: non-coding RNA, 73 nt
Organism: Mus musculus (house mouse)
Lineage: Eukaryota; Metazoa; Chordata; Mammalia; Rodentia; Muridae
Source: Rfam